This 497-nucleotide ribosomal RNA is filed under the name uncultured bacterium. RNAcentral describes it as "partial 16S ribosomal RNA". It matches the Rfam family "Bacterial small subunit ribosomal RNA", at positions 28 to 507 of the family's 1533-position model. The record is from RNAcentral.
GAUGAACGCUGGCGGCGUGCCUAAUACAUGCAAGUCGAGCGAACGGACGAGAAGCUUGCUUCUCUGAUGCUAGCGGCGGACGGGUGAGUAACACGUGGAUAACCUACCUAUAAGACUGGGAUAACUCCGGGAAACCGGAGCUAAUACCGGAUAAUAUUUUGAACCGCAUGGUUCAAAAGUGAAAGACGGUCUUGCUGUCACUUAUAGAUGGAUCCGCGCUGCAUUAGCUAGUUGGUAAGGUAACGGCUUACCAAGGCAACGAUGCAUAGCCGACCUGAGAGGGUGAUCGGCCACACUGGAACUGAGACACGGUCCAGACUCCUACGGGAGGCAGCAGUAGGGAAUCUUCCACAAUGGGCGAAAGCCUGACGGAGCAACGCCGCGUGAGUGAUGAAGGUCUUCGGAUCGUAAAACUCUGUUAUUAGGGAAGAACAUAUGUGUAAGUAACUGUGCACAUCUUGACGGUACCUAAUCAGAAAGCCACGGCCAACUACGUG